Molecule: ribosomal RNA, 381 nt
Filed under: uncultured eukaryote
Lineage: Eukaryota
Description: partial 18S ribosomal RNA
Rfam family: Eukaryotic small subunit ribosomal RNA
Source: RNAcentral
CAAUAGCGUAUAUUAAAGUUGUUGCGGUAAAAAAGCUCGUAGUUGGAUUUCUACCGAAGAUAGCCGGUCGGGUCUUCGACCUUGUAUCUGGUUUUGUCUUUGGUAUCCUCAUAGGGAACGUUUCUGCGCUUUAUUGCGUGGUGCGGUAUCUAUGACUUUUACUUUGAGGAAAUUAGAGUGUUCACGGCAGGCAAACGCCUUGAAUAUAUUGGCAUGGAAUAAUAACAUAGGAUCUUCGUCCUAUUUUGUUGGUUUCUAGGGCUAAGAUAAUGAUUAAUAGGGAUAAUUGGGGGCAUCUGUAUCAACGCGUCAGAGGUGGAAUUCUUGGAUUGCGUUGCGACAAACUACUGCGAAAGCAUUUGCCAAGGAUGUUUUCAUUGA